GAUGAACGCUAGCUACAGGCUUAACACAUGCAAGUCGAGGGGAAACGACAUCGAAAGCUUGCUUUUGGUGGGCGUCGACCGGCGCACGGGUGAGUAACGCGUAUCCAACCUGCCCACCACUUGGGGAUAACCUUGCGAAAGUAAGACUAAUACCCAAUGAUAUCCCACGAAGGCAUCCGAAUGGGAUUAAAGAUUUAUCGGUGAUGGAUGGGGAUGCGUCUGAUUAGCUUGUUGGCGGGGUAACGGCCCACCAAGGCUACGAUCAGUAGGGGUUCUGAGAGGAAGGUCCCCCACAUUGGAACUGAGACACGGGUCCAAAACUCCUACGGGAGGCAGCAGUGAGGAAUAUUGGUCAAUGGGCGAGAGCCUGAACCAGCCAAGUAGCGUGCAGGAUGACGGCCCUAUGGGUUGUAAACUGCUUUUAUGCGGGGAUAACGUGCACCACGUGUGGUGUAUUGCAGGUACCGCAUGAAUAAGGACCGGCUAAUUCCGUGCCAGCAGCCGACGG
RNAcentral lists this ribosomal RNA (508 nucleotides) under uncultured bacterium. RNAcentral describes it as "bacterial SSU rRNA". It matches the Rfam family "Bacterial small subunit ribosomal RNA", at positions 28 to 520 of the family's 1533-position model. The record is from RNAcentral.